CUACAUCCUUCCCUCCAAGAACUUCCCACUUUGCUGUUAGGGAAACAUGAACUCACGACCUCUCGGUUAGAAAUGAAGGUUGCUUACCAUCAGAGCAACCCCUCUUGUCUAAAAUAAAUUAUGGAUAUUGUCAAGUUAGCAAGAUCUUGAAGAAGCCACAGACCCAAAACCCUUCUGUAAACAACAAAACUGUAUCUUGUUAACUAAAAGUAAUAUAAAUCACAAUUUC
RNAcentral lists this long non-coding RNA (229 nucleotides) under Nicotiana benthamiana. Its description in RNAcentral is "long non-coding RNA (NBEN_LNC027502)". The record is from RNAcentral. Lineage: Eukaryota; Viridiplantae; Streptophyta; Magnoliopsida; Solanales; Solanaceae.